AGAACGAACGCUGGCGGCAGGCCUAAUACAUGCAAGUCGAACGCACUCUUCGGAGUGAGUGGCAGACGGGUGAGUAACGCGUGGGAACCUUCCCAAUGGUACGGAAUAACUCCGGGAAACCGGUGCUAAUACCGUAUAAGCCCCUCGGGGGAAAGAUUUAUCGCCAUUGGAUGGGCCCGCGUCGGAUUAGCUAGUUGGUAAGGUAAUGGCUUACCAAGGCUACGAUCCGUAGCUGGUCUGAGAGGAUGAUCAGCCACACUGGGACUGAGACACGGCCCAGACUCCUACGGGAGGCAGCAGUAGGGAAUCUUGGACAAUGGGCGAAAGCCUGAUCCAGCCAUGCCGCGUGAGUGAAGAAGGCCUUAGGGUUGUAAAGCUCGUUUUGGCGGGGACGAUAAUGACGGUACCCGCAGAAUAAGCCCGGCUAACUUCGUGCCAGCAGCCGC
Molecule: ribosomal RNA, 446 nt
Filed under: uncultured bacterium
Lineage: Bacteria
Description: SSU rRNA
Rfam family: Bacterial small subunit ribosomal RNA
Source: RNAcentral